Molecule: ribosomal RNA, 277 nt
Filed under: uncultured prokaryote
Description: partial 16S ribosomal RNA
Rfam family: Bacterial small subunit ribosomal RNA
Source: RNAcentral
UACGUAGGUGGCAAGCGUUGUCCGGAAUUAUUGGGCGUAAAGCGCGCGCAGGCGGCCUUUUAAGUCUGAUGUGAAAGCCCCCGGCUUAACCGGGGAGGGUCAUUGGAAACUGGGAGGCUUGAGUGCAGAAGAGGAAAGUGGAAUUCCAAGUGUAGCGGUGAAAUGCGUAGAGAUUUGGAGGAACACCAGUGGCGAAGGCGACUUUCUGGUCUGUUACUGACGCUGAGGCGCGAAAGCGUGGGAGCAAACAGGAUUAGAUACCCCGGUAGUCCCUGAG